CCGCUAAGCGCGGAAAAACCGAGAAGGGACAUGGGGCACCCCGCGCACCACAGCAUAAGCAACGAGAGCACCGAAACGAGCGGAACACGUGAGACUAAUGUCGAUCGUGAGCAUUCCCACUACCAUCGGCACGCCGCACCCAUGCAGCUUAGCACGAGAAACCCGUGAGGGGCCGACCGAGGGCACCGCGCACCGCGGCAUAAGCAUCUAGCGCACCGAAACGAGCGGAACACGUGAGACUAACGUCGAUCGAGAGCAUUCCACUUCCAUCGGCACGCCGCACCCAUGCAGCUUAGCGCGGUAAACCCGAGAGGGACCGAGGGCACCGCGCACCGCGGCAUAAGCAACUAGCGCACCGAAACGAGCGGAACACGUGAGACUAACGUCGAUCGAGAGCAUUCCACUACCAUCGGCACGCCGCACCCAUGCAGCUUAGCGCGGUAAACACGAGAGGGACCGAGGGCACCGCGCACCGCGGCAUAAGCAACUAGCGCACCGAAACGAGCGGAACACGUGAGACUAACGUCGAUCGAGAGCAUUCCACUACCAUCGGCACGCCGCACCCAUGCAGCUUAGCGCGGUAAACUCGAGAGGGACCGAGGGCACCGCGCACCGCGGCAUAAGCAUCUAGCGCACCGAAACGAGCGGAACACGUGAGACUAAUGUCGAUCGAGAGCAUUCCACUACCAUCGGCACGCCGCACCCAUGCAGCUUAGCGCGAUAAACCCGAGAGGGACCGAGGGCACCGCGCACCGCGGCAUAAGCAACUAGCGCACCGAACCGAGCGGAACACGUGAGACUAACGUCGAUCGAGAGCAUUCCGCUACCACCGGCACGCCGCACCUAUGCAGCUUAGCGCGAUAAACCCGAGAGGGACCGAGGGACCUUAGACCAACGAGGGGAUACGUCUAGCGCGACGCAACGUCCUAAUCGAGCAACGAUUGCCCAUAGCGGGGGGGCAUUACACCAUGGCCGGGUGAGACCGUUGCUCCACAUGAAGCUCAGCACACCCAACCGUGGGGAUCAGCCCCCUACACACGCACAAGCUCAAGCACAACCACCGUGCCGUCAUUGCGUGCAUCUGGUAGCUAUUGGCUCAUCGGGCUAGGCAUUCAUACAAAUACCAUCAUUGCCGCAAUGAUUGCCAGCAAAUCGCGCACAACAAAAAAAUUGCACCCGCACACUCCGCCCACGGCUCGCCGGAAAGACACCGUUGAGGUGGCCGGACCCGAUGUCCGGCACCACUCGGGACCGAUGGGGGGGACUCAUGUCCCUAGAUACCCGUCACCCACAGCGAGGCGAGGGCCUAGCAAGGCCCCCGCAAUAAGCCCCCCCAGCAAGGGGGAGUGCCCCCCCCCUUAAAGAGUCUUAUUUG
This 1375-nucleotide long non-coding RNA is filed under the name Carica papaya (papaya). Its description in RNAcentral is "long non-coding RNA (CPAP_LNC013661)". Lineage: Eukaryota; Viridiplantae; Streptophyta; Magnoliopsida; Brassicales; Caricaceae. The record is from RNAcentral.